Molecule: ribosomal RNA, 57 nt
Filed under: uncultured organism
Description: partial 16S ribosomal RNA
Source: RNAcentral
UGGGCUUGACAUGUGGGGAAAAGCCGUAGAGACACGGUGUCCGAAAGGGUCCCACAC